This 28-nucleotide small RNA is filed under the name Bombyx mori (domestic silkworm). RNAcentral's name for it is "ovarian small RNA-18045". Lineage: Eukaryota; Metazoa; Arthropoda; Insecta; Lepidoptera; Bombycidae. The record is from RNAcentral.
UAAAACUUUCUACUGCACUACGUCCUUU